RNAcentral lists this ribosomal RNA (254 nucleotides) under uncultured bacterium. RNAcentral's name for it is "partial 16S ribosomal RNA". It matches the Rfam family "Bacterial small subunit ribosomal RNA", at positions 524 to 777 of the family's 1533-position model. The record is from RNAcentral.
UACGAGGGGGGCAAGCGUUGUUCGGAAUCACUGGGCGUAAAGCGCACGUAGGCGGCUUCUUAAGUCAGGGGUGAAAUCCUGGAGCUCAACUCCAGAACUGCCUUUGAUACUGAGGAGCUCGAGUCCGGAAGAGGUGAGUGGAACUGCGAGUGUAGAGGUGAAAUUCGUAGAUAUUCGCAAGAACACCAGUGGCGAAGGCGGCUCACUGGCCCGAUACUGACGCUGAGGCACGAAAGCGUGGGGAGCAAACAGGG